GCUCCGAUAGCUCAGUGGUAGAGCAACAGAUUGCAGCUAGGAACUAUCUAUCUAUAUAUAGAUAAUUCUUCAUUUUCAGCUAUCUGAAGGUCGAUCGUUCGAUCCGGUCUCGGAGCU
This is a non-coding RNA of Xylariomycetidae sp. FL2044, 117 nucleotides long. NCBI's taxonomy places the organism in Eukaryota, Fungi, Ascomycota, Sordariomycetes. The record is from the annotation of a GenBank genome assembly.